This is a non-coding RNA of Cercocebus atys (sooty mangabey), 2718 nucleotides long. NCBI's taxonomy places the organism in Eukaryota, Metazoa, Chordata, Mammalia, Primates, Cercopithecidae. The record is from the annotation of a RefSeq genome assembly.
UUGCUGGUAUAUAAUAAAGUGGUGCGCAUCAGAGUUGCUGCUAUCUUAGACUUAAUUAAUCAGUAUCAGGUGAUCCUGAGGCUCAGUGAUGUCACUGUGGGAACUGCUCUGUGGGGACAGGGACAUACCUCCUUCUCUGCUCCUGCUCACAGUGACCCUGAUCUGGUAAAGCUCGCAUCCUGCCCUGACCCUGUCAUGGGCACCAGGCUCCUCUGCUGGGUGGCCCUGUGUGUCCUGUGGGCAGAUCACACAGAUGCUAGAGUCUCCCAAGACCCCAGACACAAGAUCACAAAGACGGGACAGAAUGUAUCUUUCAAGUAUGUUCCAAUUUCCGAACACAACCGCCUUUACUGGUACUGACAGACCCUGGGGCAGGGCCCAGAGUUUCUGACUUACUUCCAGAAUGAAGCUCAACAAGACAGAUCAGGGCUGUUCAGUGAUUGGUUCUCUGCAGAGAGGCCUGAGGGAUCUAUCUCCACCCUGAUGAUCCAGCACACAGAGCAAGGGGACUCAGCCGUGUAUCUCUGUGCCAGCAGCUUAGCCACAGCAUGGCACAGUCGCCUCCUUCCUGUUCACAAACACUCAGGCACUUACUUCUCCUUCCAGCUCUCAGAAGCCCUGAACAAAGGAGCUGCCCUGCUCUUUCCUCAGCAAGGAGAAUGAACGCAUUUGGAACUUCCGGUGUUCUUCUGAUACUAGGAGGUCAGAAAAUAACCUCUGAAAUACAGGAACAGGGAACACUAGGUAGUAAUAAUUUUGGCUUAUGAAUUUCUGGAAUUCCUUGUAUAUAAUUGAAAUUUCUAUAAUUAGGAUAUAACAGAGCUUGGUCUCAGGGAUAGUGACUAACUACAUAUUCUCUUAUAGAACUAUGAAGUUUCAGCACAUUCAUAUUAAACUACUGUUACCACGUGGUCACCAACUCAGACCUACAAUCUACCAAGGAGUGGCGAAGCCAAAAGCAAACACUGUUAAGGCCAUUUACAGCUACCACCCUUGGAAGACAAUUGGAAUAUUUAGUAAGAAUUUCCAUCAAAAUCAAUUAUUCAGAAAUAACUAUUACACACAAUAAUGCAUAUUAACUCAUGUUUAUACAUUGCUUUUUUCCUUCUGAAAAUCUUGUAGUCAUUCUGUGUUUAAUUUCCUUCUUCUCCACUCUAACUUAAAAAAAAUAGAAAUACAAAUUGAGAUUGGUUUCAUAAGAUAAAUCCCACCUGGGAAGGUGUUAAAAGGACACAAUUCAAAGAAGACCUGAAUAAAAUUAUAUCAACUACGUAGGAUUCUUUGAGGUUUCCAAAGAAGAUGUACCAAUUUACAUUCCCAUGAGAGGUAUAUGAGAGUUUUGGAUGGAAUUUUUUUUUUUCUCUCUCUGUAGAUUAGUUUUUCCCUCUACUAAUAGUUUCUCUUGAUAAACAGAAGUUCUUAAGUGACAAUCAUUCCAUGUUUCUCCUGUUUCAGUUAGUGUUUUGUAUUUUGGUGUCCACUUUAGGAAAUCCUUGCUUACUUCAAAAUGAUCGUGUUUUCUUAUAUUUCCUUCUAAAAUCUUUAUAUUUUCCACUUUUCACACUUAGACUCACAAUUGAACUGGAAUUAAUUCUUUGCAGGUGAUAUGAGGAAGAGGUCAAGUUUUAUUUUUCCAAAUGAUUAUUCAAUUUACCCAAUACUAUUUGUUAAGUGGUAAUAGUUUCGUCAUCACCCUGUAAUACCACUUUUGUCAUAAGUCAGUCAUUAUACAUGUGUGGCCUUUUUUCUCGGAUCUCUAUUUUGUUAUAUUGGUCUGUUCUAUCAGUUCUUGCACUGAUAAUACACUGUCUUACUACAGCUUCAUCCUCAUUCUUAAUAUCUGGUAGAAUAAUUUCUCAAGCUUUGUUCCUUUUUAUCAAGUGUUCUUGAGCACUCUUGACACUUUUUUUCACAUACAUUUUAAAAUCAGCUUGCCAAAUUAUUCAAGAAAAAGAUAACAACUGCUGGGAUUUUUGUUUUUGUUUUUGUUUGUUUCCAACUGACUUAAGUGCAUCGCAGAACAAAGGUAAAAAUAUUAAUAGAAAUAUAAAAAUAUCUAACACCCAAAAAUACAAAAUACAAAAUAUCUGGCAUCAAUCAAAAAUUACCUGCAAAGAAGCAUGAAAAAAGGAUCCAUAAUGAAGAGAAGGAUUAAUUAAUAGGAACCAAGUCAGAAAUGACAAAUUGGCAGACAAAGAAAGUCAAACAGUUAUUGUAACUCUGGUCUGUAAGUUCAAAGCUUUGUAGAGACGGGGAAAGGCAUAAUGAGGUCCAAACAAAGCUUCUAGAGAUAAAAAUUACAAUGUCUGUUAUGAAAAAUAUACUGGAUGAAGUUAACAUCAGAUGAGACAUUACAGGAUAAAAUAUUAAUAAACUUGAAGAAAUAAACAAUUCUUAAUGAAAUACAGAGAAUAAGAGGAGAUCAUCAGUAAACUAAGGGACAACUUUAAGUAGCUUAAUAUGUAAUUAGAGUCCCAAAAGCAAAUUUUUAAACUUAAAUUUCUUUAAAGGAUAAUUGGUUAUUUACACUGAAAUAAUUCCAACACACUGCAGGGAUUCUAAUAUAUGCAAAAGUAAAUCUAUAACAAGACUAGCAUAAAGACAGGUGAGGAAUAAAUAAACACAUGUAUCAUUGGAAGGUUUCCAUAAUCUGAGUGAAGUCACUUGAAGGUAGACUGUGUUAAAGUAGAGAUGCAUACUGAAAAUCACAGAGCAACC